Molecule: RNase P RNA, 188 nt
Filed under: Serratia sp. (in: enterobacteria)
Lineage: Bacteria; Pseudomonadati; Pseudomonadota; Gammaproteobacteria; Enterobacterales; Yersiniaceae
Description: Serratia sp. (metagenome) partial RNase P RNA component class A
Rfam family: Bacterial RNase P class A
About the family: Ribonuclease P (RNase P) is a ubiquitous endoribonuclease, found in archaea, bacteria and eukarya as well as chloroplasts and mitochondria. Its best characterised activity is the generation of mature 5'-ends of tRNAs by cleaving the 5'-leader elements of precursor-tRNAs.
Source: RNAcentral
GUAAGAGCGCACCGCGCGACUGGCAACAGUUCGUGGCACGGUAAACUCCACCCGGAGCAAGGCCAAAUAGGGGUUCACAUGGUACGGCCCGUACUGAACCCGGGUAGGCUGCUUGAGCCAGUGAGCGAUUGCUGGCCUAGAGGAAUGACUGUCCACGACAGAACCCGGCUUACCGGUCAACUCCCUCU